GCCCCUGUGGCGCAGUGGUCAGCGCGCUCCUGCAUUCUCCGUGAUGUACUCGCACUGAAGAUAGGACCGGGUGUCCGCGGUAAGCUCCCCCUCCCCCAGGUAGAACAAUAGAGCGAGUACAUCAUGGAGGAGAAGUGAGAGGUCCUCGGUUCGAAUCCGAGCAGAAGCA
This 169-nucleotide transfer RNA is filed under the name Clonostachys rosea. The record is from RNAcentral. Lineage: Eukaryota; Fungi; Ascomycota; Sordariomycetes; Hypocreales; Bionectriaceae.